AUUGAACGCUGGCGGAAUGCUUUACACAUGCAAGUCGAACGGCAGCACGGGGGCAGCCCUGGUGGCGAGUGGCGAACGGGUGAGUAAUACAUCGGAACGUGCCCGGUCGUGGGGGAUAACGUAGCGAAAGUUACGCUAAUACCGCAUACGAUCUGAGGAUGAAAGCGGGGGACCUUCGGGCCUCGCGCGAUCGGAGCGGCCGAUGUCAGAUUAGGUAGUUGGUGGGGUAAAGGCCUACCAAGCCGACGAUCUGUAGCUGGUCUGAGAGGACGACCAGCCAACCUGGGACUGAAACCCGCCCCAAACCCCCAGGGGGGGCAGCGGGGGGGAAUUUUGGACAAGGGGGGAAAGCCUGACCCAGCCUUUCCGGGGGCAGGACGAGGGCCUUCGGGUUGUAAACUGCUUUUGUACGGAACAAAAAGGCUCUGGCUAAUACCUGGGGCUCAUGACGGUCCCGUAAAAAUAAGCACCAGCUAACUACGU
Molecule: ribosomal RNA, 483 nt
Filed under: uncultured bacterium
Lineage: Bacteria
Description: partial 16S ribosomal RNA
Rfam family: Bacterial small subunit ribosomal RNA
Source: RNAcentral